ACAAUUUAUAAUGCUGAUGUAAGCUAAUUUCGUUGGCCCUAACACAUUUCAGUGAAGCAGAGGCAUUUUCUGAGCGGUUGAAAAAAGAGCUUCAAGCUUUCGAAGUGUGCGUGUGCGUGUAAUUUUGGAGAACGAGUAUUAGUUAAUGAGGUAACUUAGGAUUUUAAGCAUUGACAUGUUUACUGCAUUUUGUGUUUCUUGCCAUCACUUGUGAUCCCGUAGGAUAUUUGUGUUAAUUGAUAGUAGGUGUACAUCAUCUUUAUCAUGUCUUUCUAUUCAAUCAUAGCUUGUCGAUUUUACCUGUGUUUACUUAAAAGUAUAACACCUAAUUUUUUUUUAAAAUACUUAUGAGUAUUAUCCAGUUUCAUUUAUUUUCUUUUGGUUUUGUUAUUGUGUUUGAAAGAUUAAUUUUGAAGAUGUGUAUAUUAGCCAAAUCUUCAAAAUUUGUUUGGUUUACAAGAAGCUAAGUCAUUUACAACGUUGAAAAUAAUUUUUUUAUGAAUAAGACAUGUUCUAUGGGCUAUAUUUUAGAUAUUGACCAAUAUUUUUUGUUUCCUAUGAAUGGACAAUUGAACUUCCUGUUUUAUGAGGAUUGUAUUUGGUUUGAUUUUCUUUUCUUUCAAGUUGACAGCAACGUGAGCCCCGAAUGAUUUAUUUGGGGAUUGUGCAGGUACGACAGGCCUUCAGAUUGCUACUAAUUGUGUUCAGGACAUGGAUGAAUAGUUGGGUACAUUCAAUGUAAAACUUCAACAUAUGAGAGAGGACAUAAAAUCGGUAUGCAUCUCCCCACAUCGUGCUCUCAUUUGAAAAUGUAUAUUUUCGUGUUGUCUUGUGAUUUUGCUUAUAUACAUCAUGUUAGUUAUAAGCUGCAUAGUGUGUUCGUCUGAUUCCAAUUUUGUUUUGUUCAACAACAGGAGCAAAUUAAAAUUCAAUUUUAUUUGUUUGCUAAAGCAUAACUGCUUAUAUUAUGACUUGCUUUAUAAAAUAUUUUGAAGAAUUUGUUAUGAAUUAAUUGAAAUUAAGCUUUUCCCUGUGCUUUGAGAAUGUUGUAAAAUAUUCUUUUGUGAUAUGAAGAUUGAAGCCCAUAAUAACAAGCUGGAAAUACAUUCAGUUAACAACAAAUCAUUGGUUGAUGAACUUGAUAGCCUUUGAGAAAGAUUGUGCAUCCCUUCCCAGGUAUUUUCUUCGACUUUUUUCAUUCAAUAAAUUCAAAGAACUUUCCUUCUUUCUUUCUUUCUUUUUUCUUUUUUUAUUUUUUUUUAACACUUGGCAGUUGUACUUUGUAUUAUUUUCCCCAUUUAAAUUGCAAUUUAUAGCAUGUCUAAUAGGAAGUUCAGGUAUUCUAGCUCGACGGCUCGUUCAGGUUGUUAUUGGGUUUCUUUUUGUGUUUAUUGGGGCUUUUUUUAGUACUUAACAUUUAGCAGUUCAGGUGUUAAGUACUAAAAUGAAAAAAGAAAAUGGGGUACAUAAUGUAAAAAUACCUUUGAGUUUAUUGCUAGCUCGCAAUACCUUUUUUAAGUAUUUAACAUUUUGGGAGUUGUAUUUCAAUCACGUAAUGUUCUCCUUCACAUGCUUUAGAAUACCUUUGAGCAGCAGAUUAGCGAUUAGAGAUACUCAACAUUUAGGAUAAUAUUAUGAGAUCUUGCCUUGAUAGUUUUCAAAGUGUGUAUUUAUAUUUUUUGUCCCUUGCAGUUUUGUAUUUUUCCAGCUGGGUAGCUUAAAUUCUGUCUUUGCCAUUGAACAAACUUUGUCUAUCGUAAUGGUAUCCAAGGUUCCAACCAUUAUACUUUGUAUGGAUUUGUCACAUGGUUCCCCUGGCAAGUCUAAUAUUCCAUCCAUUGUUACUGUAAAACGCUACCAACCUCUUGUUCUUUAUGCUCUUUCAAAUUAUUGCAGCCUGCUUCUGUGUUUUUAUUUAAAAUGGUUUUUCUUGAGGCAAUGGCCAUUAAUAUCUCAUUACUGAGCAUGUGUUCACACUCAGUCCCCUAAAGUUGAAAUCAUCUAUCCUCUUUAUAAGCAUGUCUCAUACACUGAGGAUGAGGGCAUGAUCAGAUGAGUUUAUCGUCUUCAAUUAAAAUUGUUAAUGGGGGAUAUGAAUAAAUCCUGAUGCAACUCCUUUAAUUUGCUUUACUGUUGAGGCCACAACUGUAGAUUUUUCUCGCUAAUGGAACUACAUUUACAGCAGGCUUCCUCUGAGAGACCAGGUUAGCUCAAUUUGGCAUGUUAUGAACUAUGCAAAAUUGUCCAUAAAUAUGUCACUUCAAUUCAGAAAAGUCAAUUUUAUGAUACAAUUGUUGCUUUUCUUCGUUCAAAUAGGUUUUUACCACAAUUUUUAUGUCAGUUCUGUACUAUUGAAAUGUUGUUUUGAUAAUAUACAUUGUUAGUGCCAAAUGUUAGUGUUAUUUAUUUUGUUAUUGCUAUUUAUUUUGUUAUUUAUAUUCACUAUUCAAUCUUCGAAUUUUUUUCGAGGUUUUAACAAAUCAUUCCCAAAAACGUAGGAAAUUUCAACAGAAAUUGGUGUUUGGUGACUAAUUUGUGAGGUAUCAUGAUGAAAGAGACCGUGAGUCAUGACUGAUAUGAAUGGAAGGUAUUUUUCGACGAGACCCAUAAGAAUUAACUUGGUUGCUAGCAAACAGAAUGUGGGUGGUCAGGCUAAAGUUAUGAUUUACCUUUCAUCCUUGUAGUACAUUUGUUAGCUUAUUAGAUGGCCGCAUCAAAUUUACUUAAACAGGCUGAAUUAGGUUUGGUUUUUGCAUGAUGUGAUUUGAUUCCUGAUUCUGGCAGUUCAAAUGCAUUGAUGCCUUUUUGUUUUAGAUAUAUUCAACGGUUGAUGCUUAUUCAACAAUGUUGUUUUUAAGUAUGCUUCCUCUCUCUUGAAUUAUUGAAGAUAGCCACGGCUUACGAUUACAUUUCUUUGAAGUACUUUAAAAAUUUUCAGCUUUUGAAUCUUAAAACUUGCCUAAUCUCAUAAAACUUCAAUUGUCUCAAAGCGGGGAUGUCAGGAGGCUCAAGGCAUUGAGCUAAUUAUGGCUAAAAUGGUUACACUUUUAGUGCAGGUCAGUUUUUAAUUUCAUGUUUCUUACUUUUGGCUCUAAUGAUGAUAAUAAAUUGUUUUACUCAAUACCCUUUUUUUAACUCUACAGAUACUAUAGGGUCCGUGCAACCUUGUUAAUGGCGAUUAUAAAAAUUUGUUAUUGUAUUCAGGAACCUUUGGCUUAGUUGACUAUACUAAUUACGAAGAUAUUAAAUAUGUUGUAUUCAUCUUGAAAGUGUUUAACCUUCUGUGCAUCCGCGAAUUUUUCCAAUCGAUUUGACAAUUUAUUUUCCUCUUGCUCAGAUCCGAAAAAUCGACUCUAGUGAGUUUAAAAGCCCUUGGAACAGAAGUUCGAACGGGGUACCGUGACAUGGAUGGGUCUGUUCAACAUCCAUGUUUUGGCCUUCGCAAGGUUAUAUUCUUACAUUUAGCGUGAUCCAUGGGGUUGUUUCAUUUCUGGUUAUUUAAUUUUUGAACUAUUUGAAUGAGAAAACCUGCUAAUACAUUUGGCGUACCUCUCGUUGCUACUAUUGAAGCUUGAAUACCCUUCUUUUAUUUUUUUUAAAUUCUAGACAUGUAAAUGUUGCAUAUGUCACUUGAUUGAUGAAGCUGAAACUUUGCUUUUGGCUACUUCAAUACACGAGCUAAGUUAACUAAAUCAACAUCUACGAAAAAUAGGGGUGCUAUAUUCAAUUUCUCUUUAAAGAGUUGAAAAAAUUUCGGCCUUUUCAAAUCCCAAAGUCUCUUCUUUUUUAUCCUCCAAUCAUACUCUACGUUUCUCUCUUAAUCUUACACAUUAAACGAUAAUAUAUUCUUGUUUUCGUAUCAAUGUUUUAAAAGCCUUGAAAAAAUUUGUGUUUUCCACUCUUCUCCAGCUGCCAUUGACUGUCUUGAUUCAAGACUUUUGAUUAAAUUUACAAGUUAUUAUCAUUAUACUUGAAUGCCAUUGAAGCUAAAUUUUCUGAGUUGAUUAAAAAAAACGCAGAAUGAGAGGUUCACAUACUAGGAGUAGCUACAUUUAGGUGGUGCCGAUGAUAGAUAGUCAUUAAACGUAAAGUACAGAUGAUAGAAAUAGUGAUGCUGUGAUAGAACUAGAUGUGGUCCUGGUGGUUAUGUGAUGG
RNAcentral lists this long non-coding RNA (4155 nucleotides) under Olea europaea subsp. europaea. Lineage: Eukaryota; Viridiplantae; Streptophyta; Magnoliopsida; Lamiales; Oleaceae. The record is from RNAcentral.